CAGUCAACUGUGCUGAACUGGAAAGGAAGAAAUGUUAUUUUUUCCAGGAUGAAAGCAAAACAAGAUCUCUCCCUGUUUAUCCUGUCUCACCCUUUUCUAAAGAAGGUGCCUGCCUUCCAAGCCCAGUGGUUUGGUGUGCAGAAAUGCUGAGCUCCCAGUCCCAGCUGAGACAGGCAGAGAGAUGCUUCAGUGAUUCACACCCUCGUGUCCUACAAGCACUGGAGAGUUUCAAAGGGUAUAGCAUGAUGUCUGGAAAGAUGAAGUUCAGAGACUUCAAGAAGUGAUGAAUUCGUCAUACCCCCUCAGGACUUAUUUCAAUGCUUAAUUAAUUGCUGUUAAGAUGUGCACCUUAUUGCUAGCUGAAACAUAGUUAUCUUCAGCCUCCAGCCACGGGAUCUCGUUAUGUGUUGCCUGGUAGA
Molecule: long non-coding RNA, 419 nt
Organism: Motacilla alba alba
Lineage: Eukaryota; Metazoa; Chordata; Aves; Passeriformes; Motacillidae
Exons: 4
Source: RefSeq, a predicted model, not a curated record